UACGUAGGGUGCGAGCGUUAAUCGGAAUUACUGGGCGUAAAGCGUGCGCAGGCGGUCUGUUAAGACCGAUGUGAAAUCCCCGGGCUUAACCUGGGAACUGCAUUGGUGACUGGCAGGCUUUGAGUUUGGCAGAGGGAGGUAGAAUUCCACGUGUAGCAGUGAAAUGCGUAGAGAUGUGGAGGAAUACCGAUGGCGAAGGCGGCAUCCUGGACCUACAUUGACGCUGAGGAGCGAAAGCUAGGGGAGCAAACGGG
This 254-nucleotide ribosomal RNA is filed under the name uncultured bacterium. RNAcentral's name for it is "partial 16S ribosomal RNA". It matches the Rfam family "Bacterial small subunit ribosomal RNA", at positions 524 to 776 of the family's 1533-position model. The record is from RNAcentral.